GUGAACGCUGGCGGUAGGCCUAACACAUGCAAGUCGAACGGCAGCACAGUAAGAGCUUGCUCUUACGGGUGGCGAGUGGCGGACGGGUGAGGAAUACAUCGGAAUCUACUUUUUCGUGGGGGAUAACGUAGGGAAACUUACGCUAAUACCGCAUACGACCUACGGGUGAAAGCAGGGGAUCUUCGGACCUUGCGCGAUUGAAUGAGCCGAUGUCGGAUUAGCUAGUUGGCGGGGUAAAGGCCCACCAAGGCGACGAUCCGUAGCUGGUCUGAGAGGAUGAUCAGCCACACUGGAACUGAGACACGGUCCAGACUCCUACGGGAGGCAGCAGUGGGGAAUAUUGGACAAUGGGCGCAAGCCUGAUCCAGCCAUACCGCGUGGGUGAAGAAGGCCUUCGGGUUGUAAAGCCCUUUCGUUGGGAAAGAAAAGCAGCAGGUUAAUACCCCGCUGUUCUGACGGUACCCAAAGAAUAAGCACCGGCUAACUUCGUG
RNAcentral lists this ribosomal RNA (491 nucleotides) under uncultured bacterium. Its description in RNAcentral is "partial 16S ribosomal RNA". It matches the Rfam family "Bacterial small subunit ribosomal RNA", at positions 29 to 507 of the family's 1533-position model. The record is from RNAcentral.